This 973-nucleotide long non-coding RNA is filed under the name Elaeis guineensis (African oil palm). RNAcentral's name for it is "long non-coding RNA (EGUI_LNC003999)". Lineage: Eukaryota; Viridiplantae; Streptophyta; Magnoliopsida; Arecales; Arecaceae. The record is from RNAcentral.
UACUAUAUAUAGACUAUAGAUUCAACCUAUUUUAAUACCAUUUACAAUAAUUCGAGACUAAUCCAAAAAAAUUAGUUGAAAACUAUUAUUCGGAUUUUUUAAUUUUAUAUAAAUAUUUAAAAUCUAUUUAAUACAUAAUUGAUAUGAGGUUAAAUAUAUGUUUGCAUGGGUUUUCAAAAAAAAUAUAAACAAAUUGAUGAAUUAGAGGUAUGGAUCGUGAUGUCAACUUUGAUGCCUUCUUCUUUAUUCUUCUCUCUCCCUUCUCUGCAUCCUCGUCUUUAUUCCUCUCUCUUUUGUCAUUUGUUCUGCUCUUCCAAUUGUCAUGGCUCCCAAGAUAUUCUUUUUAUCUUUCUAAUUUAUAUUUUUUUAUAUUUUGUGAUUAAACAUAGAGUGGGUACUCGACACCAUCGCUCGGCAACGACAACCUGAGGAGAAAGAUGAAGACGGGCUGCUGCAGAUUCCCCAUGGUAGUGAUGGAGGUGGGGGCAUAUGAUGCAAAGGAGUCGGCAAUGAAAGGAUGGACAGAAAUUUUUAGCGAGAGAAUGACAGAGGGAAGGGCAUACAAAGUAGAUCUCUUCUCAAAAGUAGUGAGAUAUUAUGCUCAUUUAUGGAUGGCAGUUAAUGAUAAGGAGAGAGAUAAUAUCGGAUCACUCAAUGAAGAUUUGUAUGAAACGCUGGCAAACUGAGGAGGAGGAAAAGUUUCUCUUCAGAAUAUCUUUUAAUCUUUGUUUAUUAUUUAUUAAACAGGAAUCCAUAUCUCCUGCGAUAUAUUUUGUCUCAUAUGCAUAAUUCAUAGAAUGAUGUGUCCCUUGCGUGGAAGUAAAGCAGAUGGAUUCAAGAAAUUCUUUCACGGCGUUUCCUAUCAAUAAAUUAUGCAUGAUUAGUUCCCUGACAGCUACGUCUCAACGAAUCAUAUUUUUCAAAUAUUUAAUUUUAACUAGGGUCGGAUCUUAUGAGAAGAUGACGACAGGGG